Molecule: transfer RNA, 70 nt
Filed under: Cavia aperea (Brazilian guinea pig)
Lineage: Eukaryota; Metazoa; Chordata; Mammalia; Rodentia; Caviidae
Description: tRNA-Leu
Source: RNAcentral
UAAAAUUAUGGCUUCCUUAACUUUUAUAGGAUAGAAGUAAUCCAUUGGUCUUAGGAAUCAAAAAAUUGGU